AAAGAUUAAGCCAUGCAUGUCUAAGUAUAAGCAAUUAUACAGCGAAACUGCGAAUGGCUCAUUAAAUCAGUUAUCGUUUAUUUGAUAGUACCUUACUACUUGGAUAACCGUGGUAAUUCUAGAGCUAAUACAUGCUAAGAAUCCCGACCUCUGGAAGGGAUGUAUUUAUUAGAUAAAAAACCAAUGCCUUCGGGCUCCUUGGUGAUUCAUGAUAACUUCACGAAUCGCAUGGCCUUGCGCCGGCGAUGGUUCAUUCAAAUUUCUGUCCUAUCAACUUUCGAUGGUAGGAUAGUGGCCUACCAUGGUUU
Molecule: ribosomal RNA, 308 nt
Filed under: uncultured fungus
Lineage: Eukaryota; Fungi
Description: SSU rRNA
Rfam family: Eukaryotic small subunit ribosomal RNA
Source: RNAcentral